RNAcentral lists this ribosomal RNA (657 nucleotides) under uncultured Acidimicrobiales bacterium. Its description in RNAcentral is "bacterial SSU rRNA". It matches the Rfam family "Bacterial small subunit ribosomal RNA", at positions 120 to 795 of the family's 1533-position model. Lineage: Bacteria; Bacillati; Actinomycetota; Acidimicrobiia; Acidimicrobiales. The record is from RNAcentral.
AGAAACCUACCCCGGACUUGGGAAUAACAGUCGGAAACGACUGCUAAUACCGAAUACCUUCACAACAUCGCAUGAUGACGUGAAGAAAGCUUUUGCGGUCUGGGAGGGUCUCGCGGCCUAUCAGCUUGUUGGUGAGGUAACGGCUCACCAAGGCAUCGACGGGUAGCUGGUCUGAGAGGAUGAUCAGCCACACUGGGACUGAGACACGGCCCAGACUCCUACGGGAGGCAGCAGUGGGGAAUAUUGCACAAUGGGCGCAAGCCUGAUGCAGCAACGCCGCGUGCGGGAAGACGGCCCUAGGGUUGUAAACCGCUUUCAGCAGGGAAGAAAAUGACGGUACCUGCAGAAGAAGGUGCGGCCAACUACGUGCCAGCAGCCGCGGUGACACGUAGGCACCAAGCGUUGUCCGGAUUUAUUGGGCGUAAAGAGCUCGUAGGCGGUUGGCUAAGUCGGGUGCGAAAACUAAGGGCUUAACCCUUAGACGCCACUCGAUACUGGUCUGACUUGAGUUCGGUAGGGGAGCGGGGAAUUCCUGGUGUAGCGGUGAAAUGCGCAGAUAUCAGGAGGAACACCGGUGGCGAAGGCGCCGCUGUGGGCCGAAACUGACGCUGAGGAGCGAAAGCAUGGGUCGCAAAGGGAUUAGAUACCCCUGUAGUC